Molecule: long non-coding RNA, 555 nt
Filed under: Marmota monax (woodchuck)
Lineage: Eukaryota; Metazoa; Chordata; Mammalia; Rodentia; Sciuridae
Source: RNAcentral
GUAAAAAUGGUUUGGGGUCCUGCAACUUUGCCAGCCCAAAGCCAUCCUGGCCUCCAACCUUGUGACCAUGGACAAGAGACUCCAAAAUCACGCUCUUUGUCCAGUCCACAAAGCUGGGAGCUGGCCACACAGGCUGCCUGGCUGCUGUCUGUUUUGGCAGAAGCCUUCCUACCUCGACCAAGAAGUUCUUAAGGCCAGGUGACUCCCAGGGACCAGUAGGCAUUUGAAAGUGGCAGUGAAGGUAUAAGUGGGAAAGAUCAUGCUUCUUUCUAGGUACAGAAGAACAAUUGGGAAAGGGAUUUGAACCAGUUUGCCUCUAAGCCUAUCUAUUUUUCCCCAUCCCUUUUGAGAGAAGCAUUGCCUUCUCCUUAGGGGUACGUCUGGGAGCUGAUGAGACUGAAUGGAGCCAGAAGGUACAGGCCCAGUCCUCUCUGAUGCUGUUCUCAAGCCAAGUGACCUGAGUCCAGGGUCCCCAGCUGAGCUCUUGGCCCCUUCAACCUACCUCACAGGGUUGUUGUGAGGAUGCCACAAGAUAAUGUGCCCAACACAGAGGAA